GCGGCCUGGGCGCUUCGCUUGGCAAGCGCGGCGGCGUCGGGCGGCGUCCCCGGAGGCCUUUAGGACAGGAUCUCGCUCUGUCGCCCAGGCUGGAGUGCUGUGGCUCAGUCUCGGCUCACUGCAGCCUGAACCUCCCCGACUGAAGCGAUUCUCCCACCUCAGCCUCCCGAGUUAGCUGGGACCACAGGCGCGUGCCACCACACCUGGCUAAAUUAAAAAAAAAAUUUUAGUAGAGACAGGGUUUCACCAUUUUGUCCGGGCUGGUCUCUAACUCCUGGCCUCAGGCGAUCCACCCAUCACAACCUCCCAAAAUGCUGGGAUUACAGAUGUGAGUCACUGCCCCGGCCUAAACAAUUUUAUUUUGAUAAAGGUAUGCAUAGACAUGAUAGAAAAUACGAAACCAAGUGCAGUGGCUCACGCUUGUAAUCCCAGCUACUCCAGAGGCCCAGGCGGGAGGACCGCUUGAGGCUAGGAUUUCGAGGUCAGCCUCAGAAACAUAGUAGUUGCCAGCAAACGAACAGUACAUAGAAAAAGUAGGCUGGGCGCAGCGACUCAGGCCUGCGAUCCCAGCACUUUGGGAGGCCGAGACCAGGUGGAUCGCUUGAGUCCAGGAGUUGGAGACCAGCCUGGGCAACAUGGCGAAACCCCAUCUCUACAAAAAAUACAAAAUUUGGCUAGGCACGGUGGCUCACGCCUGUAAUCCCAACACUUUGGGAGGCUGAGGCAGGUGGAUUACCUGAGGUCAAGAGUUGGAGACCAGCCUGGCCAACGUGGUAAAACCCUGUUUCUACUAAAAAUACAAAAAUUAGCCAGGUGUGGUGGCAGGUGCCUGUAAUCCUGGCUACUUGGGAGGCUAAGGCAGGAGAAUCACUUGAGCCUGGAGGCAGAGGUUGCAGUGAGCCGAGAUGGUGCCACUGCACUCCAGCCUGGGUGACAGAGUGAGACUCCAUCUCAAAAAAUAGAUUAAUUGAUUAAAAUUAAAAUCAGGUGCACUCCCCAGCAGGUCCCCUCCAGCAAUGGAUGGAUAGUUAAUGUUGUUUACAACAUUUCUUCUAUUCUGUCUUGCCCAACAACUUUGCCCAUCUUGAAGGUCAUACAAGGAAUGAUAAAGGGAUGAUAAUCAUGUUUGGAGAGGGCACAACCCUGAGAGAGGUAACUGGGGUAUGAGAAGCAAUGCUCUGGUGGCGCAUGCCUAUAAUCCCAGCUACUCGGGAGGCUGAGGCAGGAGAAUUACUUGACCCUGGGGGGCGGAGGUUGCAGUGAGCUGAUAACACGCCUCUGAACUCCAGCCUGGGGAACAGAACAAGACUCUGUCUCAAAAAACAAAACGAAACAAAACAAAACAAAACACAAAAAAACCAGAGAAGCAAUGCUCAAUAUUCAACCAUUUCUUUAAAAAAAGAAGGGAAAAAAAAAUCAUGUGUGUCUUAUUGUCUAGUACUGUAUUGUCUGGUAUUGCCUAGUACUUCUAGGGGUUGGAAAAAUAUUAACAUUUAAUCUUCACAACUAGUAGGUGAGGUGGGCAUUGUCCCCACUUUCUUAGGUAACAAAAGAGACACACUGCUAAAAAGCAGGGAGGGAAACCCAGGUGUUCUGGCCCCACCCAGAGGACACUCUGCUGUGCUCCACACUGCCUCUCAUUGGGGGCUGGGAUAGAGAGGAAGACAGGUGUGCAGGCCUGGUCCUGUUCUGAGGACUCUGCUGAACCGGAUCCUAUGAGGUUAUUUUGUAAAAUCUAAUACAUGACUUGUAAACUGGACACGAACAAGAAUUUGUGAUAUAGCCUCUUUACCAGGAUUGAAGAAGACAGAAAGAAAAAAAUCUUGGACAAAUUAAUUGCAGGAAGAAAUGAUCAAAUUUUGGCUUACAUAUUUUGCAACAGUGGUAUAACACAAAGAAGUAAGCAAAUAUGGCAGAAGUGUGGUGGCUUUGGCGUCUACUUUUGACCAUAGUGGUGGCCCUGUUAUUCGUGGCUCCCGGGGUUCCUACACAUCCUUCCUGAUGGAAGAAGGCGUUGGCCAAAAAGGUCAGCCAGCUGAUGGAUUGGACCAAGAAAGACAGAGUGAUAAGAAUGAGUGACACCAUGUUCUAUCAUUUUGUAUUAGAUGCACCAAAAAACUAUUCUGUUAUUGUGAUGCUUACUGCUCUCCACGAGUUCAGUUCAUGUGUCAUGUGCAAAGGUGCUGCUGAGGAAUUUCAGAUCUUGGCAAAUUCCUAUCAACGCCCUGGUGCAUUCACCACAAAGGUAUUUUUUGCAAUGGUGGAUUAUGAUGAAAGCCCUGAGGUCUUUGAAGCACUCCAGGUAACGUCAGUUCCGACUUUCUUCCACUUUUCUGCCCAAUGGAAAUUUGCAACAGAUGACAUUUAUAAUUUGAGAGGAAGGGAUAUUGUUGCUGACCAAAUGGCUGAAUGGGUAGCAGAAAGAACACAUGUCAGUGUCAGAAUCAGACAGCCUGCAAAUUAUCAUGGUCUCCUCAAGCCAGGGAUACUUCUGGCUCUCAUUGGUGGACUUGGGUAUUUCUUGAAAUGGAAUAGGAAAUCUAUUUCUUGCAGAAUUUUGUGCGAAGUUUUAACUCUGUGCUUUGUGAUUGUGAUGACGUCUGGUCAAAUGUGGACUUAUAUAAGAGGAGAACCAUAUGUCCAGAGGGACCCUCACACAGGACAUAAACAUUACAUCAGUAAAUUUAGUCAGGCUCAGUUUGCAGCAGAAACAUUCAUUAUUUCCCUGUUUAAUAUGUGUGUUAGUCUGGGAGUGGUGCUGUUAGACAAGGCUGCCACCUCUACGAUGAACAUCAUAAAGAGAAAGAUGAUGUGUCUGGCUGGUAUGUGUCUUGUUGCCAUAUUCUUCAGUUGGCUGUUUUCCCUCUUUAGAUUUAAAGUACCUGACUAUCCAUACAGCUUUGUCUGGGUUUAAAAAGGAUCCUACAGACAUAGACAAUGAAGCAAGAAAUUUGAAAAAAAAAUGUGAAGCAGAAAAAUCCAAACUCAUAGCUUUUUAAAGUAAUUGAGAUUUCACCAAAAGAGACCAUAAGUGCUUUAAGUGCUUUCAAAAUCUGUCAAGUAUUAUGGUAUGUAUCUUCUCUGUUCUUAAUUUUUCUCCCCGAGUGUUAUAGAUUACCUCAAGUCCAAUUAUUAAAAUCUUUAGAGAGUACAA
RNA transcript from Gorilla gorilla gorilla (western lowland gorilla), 3154 nucleotides. It is a transcript of the gene named magnesium transporter protein 1-like, with no coding region annotated. The transcript has 3 exons. The record is from RefSeq and is a predicted model, not a curated record. NCBI's taxonomy places the organism in Eukaryota, Metazoa, Chordata, Mammalia, Primates, Hominidae.